GGCUAAUCCUGGUCGGACAUCAGGAGGUUAGUGCAAUGGCAUAAGCCAGCUUGACUGCGAGCGUGACGGCGCGAGCAGGUGCGAAAGCAGGUCAUAGUGAUCCGGUGGUUCUGAAUGGAAGGGCCAUCGCUCAACGGAUAAAAGGUACUCCGGGGAUAACAGGCUGAUACCGCCCAAGAGUUCAUAUCGACGGCGGUGUUUGGCACCUCGAUGUCGGCUCAUCACAUCCUGGGGCUGAAGUAGGUCCCAAGGGUAUGGCUGUUCGCCAUUUAAAGUGGUACGCGAGCUGGGUUUAGAACGUCGUGAG
Molecule: ribosomal RNA, 307 nt
Filed under: Escherichia coli
Lineage: Bacteria; Pseudomonadati; Pseudomonadota; Gammaproteobacteria; Enterobacterales; Enterobacteriaceae
Description: partial 23S ribosomal RNA
Rfam family: Bacterial large subunit ribosomal RNA
Source: RNAcentral